Trichechus manatus latirostris (Florida manatee) is the source of this 108-nucleotide small nuclear RNA. Lineage: Eukaryota; Metazoa; Chordata; Mammalia; Sirenia; Trichechidae. The record is from RefSeq and is a predicted model, not a curated record.
UUACUCCUUUCUGCAGCACAUAUACUAAAAUUAGAACAAUACAGAGAAGAUUAGCAUGGCCCCUGCACAAGGGUGAUACGCAAAUUUUGUGAAGCGUUCCAUAUUUUU